Non-coding RNA from Pelobates cultripes (western spadefoot toad), 246 nucleotides. The record is from the annotation of a GenBank genome assembly. NCBI's taxonomy places the organism in Eukaryota, Metazoa, Chordata, Amphibia, Anura, Pelobatidae.
AAGAACUGUCAACCGUAUAGCGUUGAUGGACUGAAAAUAAGUCAAUGCCCACCAUCCACGAAGAAGCGCCACACCAGAUAGUGCUGAAGGACUGGAAACUGAAAUGAGAGAAAAACAGAAUCGAACAGGUUGAUUAUCCAAUGAAAUGUAAUUUGAAUAAACUUGUAGAUACCCAAUGUAGCAAAACAAAAUUACCUAAUAUGUAGAUAUCCCAACCCUACUUAUGAAAAACAGACAUAAGGACAG